This is a long non-coding RNA of Cryptomeria japonica (Japanese cedar), 4428 nucleotides long. RefSeq lists it as uncharacterized. Lineage: Eukaryota; Viridiplantae; Streptophyta; Pinopsida; Cupressales; Cupressaceae. The record is from RefSeq and is a predicted model, not a curated record. The transcript has 2 exons.
UAGAAAAGGAACGUUGCAGGCAAGUACUGUUUCAUUUUGAUAGAAAAGAUUGCCUCCACAGAAGUCACAUCAGAUUAGGACAGCCAUUGAUUUCUACUUUUUUAUUUCCGCCUGUUUUAGACGGCAGUUUUGUAAUGCAUCCUUAUCCACAGAUUGCCAGCUUCUUAUAAGUGAAUAACAAGCGGCACCACCGAAAUACAUUUAUUUCUGGUUUGUGGUUUUGUUAGCAUCAGCAAUGGCAAGUAUUGUGAAGACAACAAAUAGCGAGAAAGAGGAGGAGCAUCUCAGAGCCCACAAUGUGAAAAAGGGAUUUGAACGCCUGGAUAGGAGAUCUGGAAGCCGCAUCAAUGGAGGACCAAAGAAGGGAGGUCACGGAGGGAAGUAUACAUGGGCCGGGGAUCGAACCUGCGACCUCACCCACUCACAGCCUGCUGUUACUGUCCUCGAUCACAAGGACCCCAACUACGAGGAAGAGGCGUUUUGAUCUUACUCAUUCUAUUGGGUUUUUACAUAUUUUAUUUUUCUGCUGGAAACCCUCUUAAUCUCUAGCUGUUUUGGGAGUUAUUUUGUGGGGGAUCUAUUCUGACACGCCUCUCUUGUGAAUAUUUCGAUUAGAAUGUAUUGAUUAAUGGUGUUUAAAUGAUUUUGGCGUGUGGGACGUACUAUCUUUGAUGGCAUGUUCCUGAACAUGGACUAUAAUACAGGGAAUUCUAAUUACAGGUAUUAGGAUCAUAUGUCAUACUGUGAAGCAAAGUGAACGCAGUAUUUAAUUACAUCAGCAUAUUUUGUCAAGUAGACAAAAACCAGGAUUUGAUUACAUUAGCAUAUGCAGUAAAUUAUGCCAUCUGCAGUAUUGACAUGAAUAAUUGAUCUAAAAUGGGGAAAUGAGUGUGUUGAUUGUGGAUGUUUGCAACUGGUCACCUUUGUCUCUAAUAUUUGCUUGUGUACCAAUAAGGAUAUGCAGUAAAUUAUGCCAUCUGCAGUAUUAUGAGUUUGUUUGCAUUAAUCAAUGUCAUAAUCAAUUAGGGAGAACAGUGUUUUGCUUUGUUUUUUCUAUUAUCGGAUUGCUUGGAUAAGCAUGUGAAGGCAAUCAAGAAAAUAAUAAUUUAAAUGACAUUUGACUGUGUGGUUAAAGUCUUGGCGUCUAAAGAAAUGAGCUGUAAAUCCACGGAGUCCAUUAUAGAAGGGUGGGAACGAGAACGAAGAAAGGAGAUCUAUGUCCAGGGGUGGAUCUUUUAGUCUCUAAGUCAAUCAAAGGUAAAAUGUUGGAAUUAAGGUAAAAUUGGUCAUGUAAAGAAAAAUUUCAAUAAAAAAAGACUAAGAAUUAAUCUGAUGGUAGUUUUAAUUUGAAGACCUUUCGAGUUGAAUUUAGCAAUAUAUUUGUUGCAUUUUGUUAAGCUCUUUAGUGAUGAUGCAUGGUAGGUUGAUGCUAAGCAUUAUUUCACAUGAUUCUUAUAGGGAGUGAUUUUUGUAGUAUGAUAAUUAUAAUUGUGAAAAAGAAAAUUGAUGUUGGACUAUACAACAUGAAUAAAAUGAUAUUAGUUAUGGUAAAAUUAAACUUGUGUUUAGAGAUGGAAGAAUUAAGAAUCUCUUUGUGACAUGUUUGACAUGCUAGGUUUGAUUAGGAACCUUUUAUUUACAAGCAGUAUUAAUAAUGUGGGGGCAUAUGGUGACUUCUCAAACAAUAAAGUCAUUAAAAUAUCUCACACAAUCGAAUCCGAAUUGAUGCAAAAAAAUCUCACACAAUCGAAUCCUGACAUAGCUGACUAUCAUCUUCUCAAAUAAUAUUACAAAUUGGUGAGAGUAAAUUUGGUAUUGGAAAAGGGGGUUAUGUGUGAGAUUAUACUUAAACUUGAGACUAGUAUCAUGUGUGGUUGACAUGUGUUUUCUCUAUGUAUUUAAAUUCCUUGAGCUAUUGUUAUACCAAUAUCAUGAAAAGAAAGACCCAAAGUUGACUUUGAAAAGACAAGAUAUUUUCAUUAUAGUACAUUAAGGAGGAAAAGAUAUCUCAAAUGAUGUCUAAAGCCAUCACCAUGCUAAUAGCAUUGAGAUAGGAGAGUUGAGGUAGUACAAAACUUUUCGUUAAGCCAUUGCUAGGGUGACACCUUAGAUGAGAUGAACUCUAGUGUUGUAAAAAAAUAAGAAGAAUUAUUUUCAUUGCAACAUCUUUUUGAGCGAAAUUGGUUGCCAACUUGGAAUAUUUAAAAAAAAAAAACAUGUAAUUGUUAUCAAUAAAGUCUGCACCCUCUGCUAAAGCUGCGAACUUGAGUUGCCUAUUGAAACAUGGGAACACUUCGAGGUUGCGGGUAACCUGAAGACUGAAGUGGACCUCCAGAGUAAGCUGGUUCUUUUCGAUUUCUUCACCUAAACUAACAAUUUCUUCAGGGAAAAGAGUGAGGAGGAAGACAUAAAAUGAAACUACUAACUAAUAGGUGAUACACCAAAAAGGAUACCAGAAAAACUUGGACAAAUUGAUUAACACACGAAGUAACCAGUAAUAAAAGGAAACCUUGCACAAUUCAGAAAAUUCAUAACCACUGCAUCAACACUUCAUAAGGAGGCUGUAAAAAUAAUAAUCUCAGCAGGAGAAAAGAUGUUUUCUCACAACCUGAGGUUACUCUUUCAACUGGCACAACUAUGACCUGCAACUGAUUAGAAAAAAACUCCUACAUAAAGGUGCUAACAGCAACACAAUCACAAGGAUAAAAGAUAUCACCUGAAACUGCAUUAAGACUAAUUACAAAAAAACAAGAAAUCUGAGAAGGCAAAAAUAUGUAUUACUCUCAAUAGGUGUUACAAAGCUUAUCAAAACUAGUUACAAACUCCUUCCUUUCUGUAGAGAAAACUCAAAAAAUUACAGUUUGCCAGAAACAAAAGGUAAGAACCCUUGAAAAAAAGAAGACCUCUAGUAUAUAUGCUUUUACAAAAGGUAGUCAAAAGGACUCCACCUCCUCCUUGGGUCGAGCAGGCUCAAAAAGCCUACUUUUUAGGGGUCUAACAUGUCUAGAAGGGGAUGGGCCUGAGCCAAAAGUCAAGCCAGCCCAUGCCUUGCCAUAAAAGCUCUUAAAUGCAUCAUAAAUGACUCUGAAAUAUCCCUGACAGGCCUGCAAGCCUUCAUAAAUGCAAAAAAUAUCUUCUUGACUUUCUAAUAAAGGUAAAUAAAUAUCUAAUAAAGUGAUCAUUAAAAUUAUCACUUCAUCAAAUAUUUAUUCAUCUAUUUUUACAAUAAAGUCAAGAAAUUGAUAAAAUUUAAUAAAGUGAUAACAACUUCACUUGAAUAAAUAUUUUCACACAUUAGAAACCAAGUAAUAUAAUACGUAAUUCAAUAAAGUGACAAAAUUAAUUCCACUUUGAUGAAUAUUUACCUAUUUCAUUUUUUAUUAAAUAUUUAUCAAUUUGUGAUUUUCACAUAUAACAUUUACUAAUUAAUUUAUAAAUUUUCACUUAAUAGAUAUUUGUUUUAAUUAUAUUAAUAAAUAUUUAUUCAGUGAUAGUUUAAUAAAUUACUUAAUAGAUAUUGUAUGUGAAAAUUAUAAAAUGAUGAAAUAAAAUAAAAAAACUUGUCCCUCCCCUAGGCAUUUUACGGGGGAAUUUAGAGGAGAGAAAUAAAAAAACAAUAAGGCAAAGAAAAACGCCUUAGUGAUUCGGCAUACUUAGGGAAAGCAACCCUAAAAUCGAGCUCAUUCCUCUUAUGUGAUAUUUUUCCAUCCUUCUGCUAUGGCGUGAAGCUAGGGUUGGAGGCUCGAAAAUCUGAAAGACAUUUGGUUUAUGCUAGCUACCAUGCUUGAUUCGCUACAAGUUGAGUUGCUGUAAACUGAUGUUGUGGAAGAAAACGCAGAAUAGGUGGUGUAUUCUUUGCAAAAACUGAGUGUGGAGUGGCUUUGUGCAUAUUUUGACGAUUUUUUGGGCGUGAUUAUCCUGAUCACUGCUUGGUAAGCCUUCCUCUUUACUGCGAAACUGAAACACCAAGCUCUAUCUUUUGAUUUAAAGCCGAUCUUGGUGGCACAAGACCACGACUUUAACUAGCUUUUCGAUUUAUUUGCUCUCUGCUUUUAUCAUGUUUGUGUUUGUGAAAAAAUGGACGCUUUACUCGAGAAUACGAAGCUGAAAAAGCUACCAUAGCUGGUUCGAAUCAUGAGGGUUUCGAAUUUAUAUUUACUGGCAGAUAACAGGAAAAAGGAGCACUAAGGACCUGGGAAGCAAGGAGGAGUAGGACGACACCAGCAAAUUUAUGGAUCAGCCAAUGAGCACUAGUCAUUCAGGCAAUGAUUGGUCACCCUCUAGACAUGCAUUUUUAGCAUUUAUUCAUUCAUGUAUAAUUUAGCUUUCAUGUGCAUCAUGGAUAUUGAAUGAACAUGGUCAGUCUCAUGGCUUAUUGUGUGAGACGUGCAUUCUAUCAGUUUAAUAAAGAUUACAUUCUUUUCGAAA